Molecule: ribosomal RNA, 468 nt
Filed under: uncultured bacterium
Lineage: Bacteria
Description: partial 16S ribosomal RNA
Rfam family: Bacterial small subunit ribosomal RNA
Source: RNAcentral
GAUGAACGCUGGCGGCGUGCUUAACACAUGCAAGUCGAACGGUGAGAGCAGAACUUUCUCUGCUGGAUCAUUGGCGAACGGGUGUGUAACACAUGAGCAAUCUGCCCCUGUCUGUGUGAGAAGCCCUGGAAACGGCGGCUAUUACUGGAUACGAUCUACUGAGGCGUCUUCAUCAGCUGUAAAGAACUGCGUUCAGGGAUGAGCUCGCGGCCUAUCAGCUUGUUGGUGAGGUAACGGCUCACCAAGGCUUCGACGGGUAGCCGGCCUGAGAGGGUGACCGGGCACCAUGGGACUGCGACAGGGACCAGACGCCAACGGGAGGCAGUAGUGGGGAAUAUUGCACAACGGGGGAAAGUCUGAUGUAGCAACGCCGCGUGAGGGAAGACGGCCUUCGGGUUGUAAACCUCUUUUAGCAGGGAAGAAGCGAAAUUGACGGUACCUGCAGAAAAAGCGCCGGCUAACUACGUG